CCUACGGGAGGCAGCAGUGGGGAAUUUUGGACAAUGGGCGCAAGCCUGAUCCAGCAAUGCCGCGUGAGUGAAGAAGGCCUUCGGGUUGUAAAGCUCUUUUGUCAGGGAAGAAACGGUGGAGGUUAAUACCUUCUGCUAAUGACGGUACCUGAAGAAUAAGCACCGGCUAACUACGUGCCAGCAGCCGCGGUAAUACGUAGGGUGCAAGCGUUAAUCGGAAUUACUGGGCGUAAAGCGUGCGCAGGCGGUUGUGCAAGACAGAUGUGAAAUCCCCGGGCUCAACCUGGGAAUUGCAUUUGUGACUGUACGGCUAGAGUGUGUCAGAGGGGGGUAGAAUUCCACGUGUAGCAGUGAAAUGCGUAGAGAUGUGGAGGAAUACCGAUGGCGAAGGCAGCCCCCUGGGAUAACACUGACGCUCAUGCACGAAAGCGUGGGGAGCAAACAGGAUUAGAUACCCCGUGGUACGUCCACCGACCCGUAAACGAUCGUACUACGUUAGUUCGGUUCGGGUUUACUUUUAGUUCGUACGUUUAGGGUAACCGCGACGUACGUAACCGCGGUUAGGAAAGUACGGACCCGCCGGGUGGGGGUAACGGUUACCGGGGUUCCGACGAAAGUUAAACGUUUAAAACCGUACUUAAAAGUUAGUUAAAGUUUCGGGACCGGGUUCGUUAGGACGUUACCGUUCCGGACCGGACGGACCGACCGGACGGGAGGGGUUAGGAGG
This 727-nucleotide ribosomal RNA is filed under the name uncultured bacterium. Its description in RNAcentral is "bacterial SSU rRNA". The stretch from base 1 to 581 matches the Rfam family "Bacterial small subunit ribosomal RNA", at positions 338 to 873 of the family's 1533-position model. The record is from RNAcentral.